This 471-nucleotide ribosomal RNA is filed under the name Salmonella enterica. RNAcentral's name for it is "bacterial SSU rRNA". It matches the Rfam family "Bacterial small subunit ribosomal RNA", at positions 1 to 468 of the family's 1533-position model. Lineage: Bacteria; Pseudomonadati; Pseudomonadota; Gammaproteobacteria; Enterobacterales; Enterobacteriaceae. The record is from RNAcentral.
AAAUUGAAGAGUUUGAUCAUGGCUCAGAUUGAACGCUGGCGGCAGGCCUAACACAUGCAAGUCGAACGGUAACAGGAAGCAGCUUGCUGCUUUGCUGACGAGUGGCGGACGGGUGAGUAAUGUCUGGGAAACUGCCUGAUGGAGGGGGAUAACUACUGGAAACGGUGGCUAAUACCGCAUAACGUCGCAAGACCAAAGAGGGGGACCUUCGGGCCUCUUGCUAUCAGAUGUGCCCAGAUGGGAUUAGCUUGUUGGUGAGGUAACGGCUCACCAAGGCGACGAUCCCUAGCUGGUCUGAGAGGAUGACCAGCCACACUGGAACUGAGACACGGUCCAGACUCCUACGGGAGGCAGCAGUGGGGAAUAUUGCACAAUGGGCGCAAGCCUGAUGCAGCCAUGCCGCGUGUAUGAAGAAGGCCUUCGGGUUGUAAAGUACUUUCAGCGGGGAGGAAGGUGCUGUGGUUAAUAACC